RNAcentral lists this ribosomal RNA (497 nucleotides) under uncultured bacterium. RNAcentral describes it as "partial 16S ribosomal RNA". It matches the Rfam family "Bacterial small subunit ribosomal RNA", at positions 28 to 507 of the family's 1533-position model. The record is from RNAcentral.
GACGAACGCUGGCGGCGUGCCUAAUACAUGCAAGUAGAACGCUGAAGCUUGGUGCUUGCACCGAGCGGAUGAGUUGCGAACGGGUGAGUAACGCGUAGGUAACCUGCCUGUUAGCGGGGGAUAACUAUUGGAAACGAUAGCUAAUACCGCAUAAGAGUAGAUGUUGCAUGACAUUUGCUUAAAAGGUGCAAUUGCAUCACUACCAGAUGGACCUGCGUUGUAUUAGCUAGUUGGUGAGGUAACGGCUCACCAAGGCAACGAUACAUAGCCGACCUGAGAGGGUGAUCGGCCAAACUGGGACUGAGACAAGGCCCAGAAUCCUAAGGGAGGCAGCCGUAGGGAAUCUUCGGCAAUGGACGGAAGGCUGAACGAGGAACGCCGCGUGAGGGAAGAAGGUUUUCGGGUCGUAAAGAUCUGUUGUAAGGGAAGAAAGAGUGUGAGAGUGGAAAGUUCACACUGUGACGGUAGCUUACCAGAAAGGGACGGCUAACUACGUG